This 171-nucleotide ribosomal RNA is filed under the name uncultured Octadecabacter sp. RNAcentral describes it as "partial 16S ribosomal RNA". It matches the Rfam family "Bacterial small subunit ribosomal RNA", at positions 335 to 523 of the family's 1533-position model. The record is from RNAcentral. Lineage: Bacteria; Pseudomonadati; Pseudomonadota; Alphaproteobacteria; Rhodobacterales; Roseobacteraceae.
ACCCCUACGGGAGGCAGCAGUGGGGAAUCUUAGACAAUGGGCGCAAGCCUGAUCUAGCGAUGCCGCGUGAGUGACGAAGGUCUUAGGAUCGAAAAGCUCUUUCGCCUGUGAUGAUAAUGACAGUAGCAGCUUAAGAAUCCCCGGCUAACUCCGUGCCAGCAGCCGCGGUAA